RNAcentral lists this ribosomal RNA (468 nucleotides) under uncultured bacterium. RNAcentral describes it as "partial 16S ribosomal RNA". It matches the Rfam family "Bacterial small subunit ribosomal RNA", at positions 28 to 507 of the family's 1533-position model. The record is from RNAcentral.
GACGAACGCUGGCGGCGUGCUUAACACAUGCAAGUCGAACGGAAAGGCCCUGCUUUUGUGGGGUGCUCGAGUGGCGAACGGGUGAGCAACACGUGAGUAACCUGCCCUUGACUUUGGGAUAACUUCAGGAAACUGGGGCUAAUACCGGAUAGGAGCUCCUGCUGCAUGGUGGGGGUUGGAAAGUUUCGGCGGUUGGGGAUGGACUCGCGGCUUAUCAGCUUGUUGGUGGGGUAGUGGCUUACCAAGGCUUUGACGGGUAGCCGGCCUGAGAGGGUGACCGGCCAAAUUGGGACUGAGAUACGGCCCAGACUCCUACGGGAGGCAGCAGUGGGGAAUAUUGCACAAUGGGCGGAAGCCUGAUGCAGCAACGCCGCGUGCGGGAUGACGGCCUUCGGGUUGUAAACCGCUUUCGCCUGUGACGAAGCGUGAGUGACGGUAAUGGGUAAAGAAGCACCGGCUAACUACGUG